RNAcentral lists this unclassified non-coding RNA (218 nucleotides) under uncultured Tomentella. RNAcentral's name for it is "sequence contains ITS2". The record is from RNAcentral. Lineage: Eukaryota; Fungi; Basidiomycota; Agaricomycetes; Thelephorales; Thelephoraceae.
ACACCUCAACUCUCAUGGUUUGCCAUGAUGAGCUUGGACUCUGGGGGUUUUGCUGGCCUGCUGUCAGCUCCUCUGAAAUGAAUCAGCUCGCCAGUCUUUGGUGGCAUCAUGGGUGUGAUAACUAUCUACGCUUGUGGUUGUCUGCCAGGUAACCUUCAGUGAUGGGGGUUGGCUGGUGCUUAUAAAUGUCUCUCCUCAGCGAAGACAGCUCUUUGAAU